This 372-nucleotide RNase P RNA is filed under the name Chloroflexota bacterium. Its description in RNAcentral is "Chloroflexi bacterium RNase P RNA component class A". It matches the Rfam family "Bacterial RNase P class A". Rfam says of the family: Ribonuclease P (RNase P) is a ubiquitous endoribonuclease, found in archaea, bacteria and eukarya as well as chloroplasts and mitochondria. Its best characterised activity is the generation of mature 5'-ends of tRNAs by cleaving the 5'-leader elements of precursor-tRNAs. The record is from RNAcentral. Lineage: Bacteria; Bacillati; Chloroflexota.
CAAGUAGGCCGGGUGGCCGCCGUCUCAGGGGAAGCGCUCCCCCGGGAGGGAGGAAAGUCCGGGCUCCAUCGGGCAGGGUGCUGGGUAACGCCCAGGAGGGGUGACCCUACGGAAAGUGCCACAGAAACCACACCGGCCGCCUUCUGGCGACCAAGGGUGAAAUGGUGAGGUAAGAGCUCACCAGCGGCUGGGUGACCAGCCGGCUGGGCAAACCCCACCCGGAGCAAGACCAAAUAGGAGGACGUUGAGGACGCCCGACCGAAGUCCUCGGGUUGGUCGCUUGACCCUGGCGGCAACGCCAGGGCUAGACAGAUGGCCACCGGUCCGGCUGGCGCUGGACUACAGAACCCGGCUUACAGGCCUGCUUGGCCC